CUGCGGGUUAAGAAUCCUGAACUAGGGAGUAGGUUGGCAAAGGGACAGCUGACAAUAAGUAUGGCUAGAGUCAAGUGGGGUGGGGUGGAGGACAGUUCCCAGGAAGGAUAGGGGCUGGAGGGGUGCUGAAGUGAGGGCACGAGGGAGCUUUGGGAGGGAGGCCUGGGUUCUGCCUUCUAGCAGAGGAAGCAGCCAAACAGCAGAAGGAACUUUCAGGCCGGAGGCUGGACCAAGUGACCUCACCCAAACACUGUGGUCUGCUGCUAUUGCAACCUGGCGAGUCUCCCAGCUCUCCUGGGUCCCCAAGUAGGAGAGCUUUUUAUAGUUCACUCCCCAACUUAGGUUUGAAUAAUUAAACAAGACGGACAGAAAUAGCAGCCGGACAGUGAAGGCAGGUUAUUUUGGGGUUUUCUGGAACACAGUGCUCCUGGGUGUCACCCCACCCCUGCAGGGGGGCGGAGCUAACAUCAAGGCUGAUGGGAGAUUCCUGUGGGGGAAACCCACCCACACCCCCAGGGUUCCUUGUGUUGAGGAGGUUGCUCUCAGCCAGAGGAGGGUCUCACCACUUCUUCCUCCUCCUCAAGGAAAGAGAGGGCUCUCACCGCCUUCUGAUCAUAGCUAUUCCCCUGGCAGGAAGUCCCUCCUGUUGUCUGUCUGGCCUUCUACUUCAGAGAUGGUGACAGAUAUUGAAAAUCAGAUCAAUAAGCAGCUGCAAGACAGGCUGAACAAGGACAAGGUGGCUACUGCUCCUCUGGCCAAGGAACUGGAACCAGGUGAUAGGAGAGGUCUGAAGGCUGAAUUCCCAGGCCUGAUCCUAAGAAGUCUUUUCCAGCAGCCUUGGAUCUCUUCAGUCUCAACAUUCUGCUUUCCCGACGUCGGAAACAGCCGGAAAAUAAACACCCUGAUGACUAAACGGUUUCUCCAGCUAAAGCCUAGGGAAGCACUAAAAAUAGAGGCCACAAGUGAGGGGAGGUUCCCCACUUGAGGGGGGUUGGCACUUUCCCAUCCUGCUACUGCCAUAGCCUCAAGCCUGGCACAAGGCUCUGUUCUUCUCUGCCCUUGGGGGAAGAGGCAGAUGGGCUCCCCCUGCCUACCCUGAAGUCUUUUGGGCAAACUAGCCCUGCCUGGCAGGGGUAACUCACAUCUUCUGGUGUUGGGGGCCUAGCCUCCCAGACCCAAUGAGGAACUGAGAAGCUAUAUUUGGGGACACGGUGGGACACUGUUUCCUGAAACGGGGGUCAGGUAGAAGGGUUGGAAACUGAGGCCAAGGAAAUAGGAGCUUGCUGGCUUCCUGUCUUAGGACACACAAGAUAAGUCUCCAACCUGUUUGCAGAGCAAGUCCACUGAACUCAUCUCCUUUGAGGCUUGCAUGGGCCAAUGGAGGCCUAGAGGGUUCUUUGCAGACCAGCCCUUGGCCCAACGGUCUGGUUUGUGUUAUUAUACAGUAUAAGACAUUGUGCUAAGCAUUCUGCUUAGAAGAACUAAUUUAAUCUUCACACUAAAUUUCUGAGUUAGCUACUAUUAUCACCAUCUCUUGUCUACCCAUGAGGACCAUGAGGUAGGGGGAAGUUAAAUAAUGUGCCUGUGUUCACAGUUAAUGAAUGGUGGAGUGAGGAUCUGAACCACGGCAGCUUGACUGCAAAGCUGACAUUUCUAACCACUUUCUCUAUAUAUUGAAGUCAUUGUCCGGUAAAUCAGAUCCAGCCAGAUAGAAAUCAGGGUGUGUGUCUGGGCGCGGUGGCUCACGCCUGUAAUCCUAGCACUUUGGGAGGCCGAGGCGGGCGGAUUGCCUGAGCUCAGGAGUUCGAGACUAGCCUGGGCAACACGGUGAAAUCCCGUCUCCACUAAAAUACAAAAAAUUAGCCGGGAGUGGCGGCAUGCGCCUGUCGUCCCAGCUACUCGGGAGGCAGGAGGCGAGGCAGGAGAAUAGCUUGAACCUGGGAGGCGGAAGUUGCAGUGAGCCAAGAUCGCGCCACUGCACUCUAGCCUGGGCGACAGAACAAGACUCCGUCUCAAAAAAAAAAAAAAAAAAAAAAAAAGCGGGGGUUUGGAAAAACUGAGUGCCCUUCUGUUCUGCAAGGUUCUUUGAGAUCUAAGCCAGAUGCCAUCAUUUCCUUACGCUCCUGGGACAAAGCAGCAGGACUUGGAAGUAACACGGAUACUGAAGAGGACGGGUCAGUUGUCCAGUAGGCAUGGCACCCACACUCCUGUUGUAGGGCACGUAAAGAUUCACCACACCCUGGAGCAACCAGGAAUUUGAAAAUAAAAAAAAAUUGAAGAGCUACUACUGCUCCUUU
This 2297-nucleotide long non-coding RNA is filed under the name Piliocolobus tephrosceles (Ugandan red Colobus). Its description in RNAcentral is "lncRNA (ENSPTEG00000012752.1)". Lineage: Eukaryota; Metazoa; Chordata; Mammalia; Primates; Cercopithecidae. The record is from RNAcentral.